RNAcentral lists this ribosomal RNA (587 nucleotides) under uncultured bacterium. RNAcentral describes it as "partial 16S ribosomal RNA". It matches the Rfam family "Bacterial small subunit ribosomal RNA", at positions 355 to 1376 of the family's 1533-position model. The record is from RNAcentral.
UGGGGAAUUUUGGACAAUGGGCGCAAGCCUGAUCCAGCCAUGCCGCGUGCGGGAAGAAGGCCUUCGGGUUGUAAACCGCUUUUGUCAGGGAAGAAAUCUUCUGAGUUAAUACCUCGGGAGGAUGACGGUACCUGAAGAAUAAGCACCGGCUAACUACGUGCCAGCAGCCGCGGUAAUACGUAGGGUGCAAGCGUUAAUCGGAAUUACUGGGCGUAAAGCGUGCGCAGGCGGUUUUGUAAGACAGAGGUGAAAUCCCCGGGCUCAACCUGGGAACUGCCUUUGUGACUGCAAGGCUUGAGUGCGGCAGAGGGGGAUGGAAUUCCGCGUGUAGCAGUGAAAUGCGUAGAUAUGCGGAGGAACACCGAUGGCGAAGGCAAUCCCCUGGGCCUGCACUGACGCUCAUGCACGAAAGCGUGGGGAGCAAACAGGAUUAGAUACCCUGGUAGUCCACGCCCUAAAACGAUGUCAACUGGUUGUUGGGAAGGUUCCUUCUCAAUAACGUAGCUAACGCGUGAAGUUGACCGCCUGGGGAGUACGGCCGCAAGGUUGAAACUUAAAUGAAUUGACGGGGUCAUAGCUGUUUCCUG